CUAGUACUUUCUCUGUCCGGAAAUACUUGUCGGAGAAAUGGAUGUAUCUAGACGUAUUUUAUUUCUAGAUACAUUUAUUUUUUAUCUAUUUCUCGGAAAAGUAUUUCCGGACAUAAGGAGUAAAUG
Non-coding RNA from Triticum aestivum (bread wheat), 126 nucleotides. The record is from Rfam. Lineage: Eukaryota; Viridiplantae; Streptophyta; Magnoliopsida; Poales; Poaceae.